Molecule: non-coding RNA, 73 nt
Organism: Canis lupus familiaris (dog)
Lineage: Eukaryota; Metazoa; Chordata; Mammalia; Carnivora; Canidae
Source: Rfam
ACCUGGUUGGUUCAGUUGGUAGAGCAUGUGACUCUGAAUCUCAGGAUUGUGAGUUCAAGCCCCACACUGGGCG